Molecule: long non-coding RNA, 2693 nt
Filed under: Cricetulus griseus (Chinese hamster)
Lineage: Eukaryota; Metazoa; Chordata; Mammalia; Rodentia; Cricetidae
Description: lncRNA (ENSCGRG00015040724.1)
Source: RNAcentral
CCAUAGCUUGGCUUGUGGAAGAAUAUUUGUUAAUCAAAUGAGAGUGACAAAAACAGCCACAAAACAGUGUACGAUCUGAGAGAUGCUCGGUGACUAAGAGCGUUUGCCGCUUUUGAGAAGAGCCUGGUUUGGUUCUAAGCUCACAAUUGUUGGAGCUCCAGAUCCAGUGGGGUCUGACAUCUGUGGAAUUCCAGCUCCAGUGGGGUCUGACAGACACCCUCUUCUGGUAUCUGAAGGCAACUGUACAUAGACCCUCCCCAAUAAAAAUAAAUAAAUAUAAGUCUUUUAAAAAGAUGAUAAUAAUCCAGUUCCUUAGUCACACUGGUUACUUUAAGACCAUUCAGUAGCUGUAUGGAUGGAGCAAUUGGAGAUCAACCCCUCAAUUUUCAGGGAGGGAGAGAAACCAGAAAGGCUCCUACAGGUGGAUCUUCUCCUCCUCACAGCCCUAAGACUUUUUCAUGCCUAGUCUCGCCCGCAGAACAGACCUGAAUGGACCCAUCAUCCAGAGUUAGAACGACUGUGUGCCUAGAAAGCCCCUUCUGCUUCCUGUCCCCACCAUCUGCCUCCAGCUUGAGGAUGUUUAUACUGAAUGUCUCAUUUCAAGGAUGCAACAAGUCCAAGCCCUCUGAUCUGCUGCUCAGCCUGUCUAGCCCCCAGGCAAGCUGUUUACAUGGAAUCCAAGUGCUCCACCAGGGGCAGAAUACAUUUUUCCACAGCUGCUGAGAAAGAUGAGCAGGUCGGGGCAGAAUAACAAAAAGCCACUUCAAAAACACACCAGAAGAAGUCACGAAGCUGAGACAAUCACAGGUUUGAAACAUCCCCUCCUCCCAAAGGCCUGACAAGAGAGUAAAAACAAGUCACCAGGGAGCCUGGGCCCUGCUGGUUUCGAGCUCUGUGUGGUUGGUGCCUUGAGAACCGGGCCUGUCCCUGCACUUCUGAGAGGAGCCAGGUCUUGAGGUUGUGGGGGCUCAGAAACCUCACCUGAGUUCUGAGAAUUGUGGGGCCUGGGGGGACAGUCCCUAGGUGCUCAGUGUCUCUGGGAAGAUGAGGGGGGAGACUGUGGGAAAGGCAGGGCCAGGAUGGAUGGGCACAGGAGUGGGGGUUCCUCUUGUCCAGAGAACAGCUAGAGUAAGGCAGUAGAGUCCCGUCUUGCCUCCCGCUUAGGAGGAACCUAUUGCCCCAGAAGGCAAGGCAUCACAGAGUUUAUGUGUCAGGGGAAGCUAAAGGCAUAAAGUCACUCGUAUUCACAGAAUUUUUCCUCUGGGACCUAUGGCUUCUCUCCUCAACUCCAUUCUCCUUUGUAGGGCAGUUGCUCUCAAUGAGGACGACCUGGAGUUUGGAGGUAUUGGCUCAAGUUGCUGUGAGACCUUAGGUUACUUAUAUAACACUCUACUAAAUGAACUACAUCUCCUGCUAAAACGAAGCAGAGUAUUGGGAGAGGCUAAGCUCUGGGUUUUGUUUGUUUAUUUGUUUGUUUUUUGAGACAUAAGGCUCAGACUAACCUCUAACUCACUGUGUGGUUGAGGAUGACCUCAGAGUUGUUCCUUUACCUCCCAAGUGUUGGGAUUACAGGUAUGCUCAGUUAGUUUGGGUUUGCUGUCUAGGUUUUCUUUCUUUCUUUUCUUUCCUUUUCCUAGUUUGGAAACAGGGUCUCAAAGAUGUAACCCAGACUAGCUUCCAGUCUCAGCUUCUCAAGUCCUGAACUCACAGACAUGCACCUCCAUGCCUGCUUUUGACCUUCAUUUCUUGCCCUGCACAGUGUAGCCUUAGUUUAGAAGGUGAGCUCUCAACCUUGGCUGCAUGUUGAAAUCACCUAGGAGGUUCAACAAUCAAUCAAUCAAUCAAUCAGUCAAUCAAUCAUCAAUCAAUCAAUCGAUGUGAUUCUCAGUGUCCUGGGACAAACCCUGGUCAACAGCAGUUUUCAAAGCUCUUCAAAUGAUUCUAAUGUCCAGACAAGGACUGUGAUCCUCCUAGAAUGUCUCAAAGUUUGGUGUGUUCAGGAAUCACCUGGGAUCUUAGAUAUUACAGCUGGUCCAGUGUAGAUUCUGACAGCUUGUAUUUCUGCUAAACCCACAGGUGAUGCCCAGGGACCACACUUGGAGUCAUAGCUGUCCAUGUUUAUGUUCCUGUCACUGGAACUGAACCAGGAAGCUGGGUGUGAAGCUCCCCAAACUCAACCCGAGUUUGGGUUCCCUCCAGUAACACCAUGUUUAUGCAAGUGGCCAGCCAAGUUCCUGUUGCCAUGCCUUUCCUGCCAUGAGGACAGCUCCCUGAAGUCAGUUCUUGCCGAGCUCCUCUAGAGGGCGCUGGAGGCCAAGCAGAGGAGGCGGCGCCAACAUGCGCAGAUUGACACUUCCAGGUAGGAUGUUUAAGAGCAGAAGGCACCAGCUGCUCUGAGAUUCCAUAAUCACUUCUCUCCUUAACCUUCCCACCAGGAACUGCUGUUAGAGAUGAUGCUUGUUGGAAAAGACGCAGCAAACCUGAUGCCUGUAAACCUCUCUGGUCCCUCUCUCCUUUUGUCCUUCCCUUCCUUCUUUUUUGUUUUGAGACAGGGUCUCGCUCUGUACCCCAAGCUGGCUUCAGACUCAGCUUCUAAGUGCUGAGAUCACAAGUGUGAGUCACCAGGCCAGGCUUCCUUUCCUUUUUUGAUCCUAAUGAAGCAAAUCGCAUGUAAAUAAACUGAUUUGUUACAG